RNAcentral lists this ribosomal RNA (508 nucleotides) under uncultured bacterium. RNAcentral describes it as "partial 16S ribosomal RNA". It matches the Rfam family "Bacterial small subunit ribosomal RNA", at positions 28 to 507 of the family's 1533-position model. The record is from RNAcentral.
GACGAACGCUGGCGGCGUGCCUAAUACAUGCAAGUCGAACGCUUCUUUCCUCCCGAGUGCUUGCACUCAAUUGGAAAGAGGAGUGGCGGACGGGUGAGUAACACGUGGGUAACCUACCCAUCAGAGGGGGAUAACACUUGGAAACAGGUGCUAAUACCGCAUAACAGUUUAUGCCGCAUGGCAUAAGAGUGAAAGGCGCUUUCGGGUGUCGCUGAUGGAUGGACGCGCGGUGCAUGAGCUAGUUGGUGAGGUAACGGCUCACCAAGGCCACGAUGCAUAGCCGACCUGAGAGGGUGAUCGGCCACACUAGGACUGAGACGCGGACCAGGCUCCUGCGGGAGGCAGCAGUAGGGAAUCGUCGGCAAUGGACGAGAGUCUGACCGAGCAACGGCGCGUGAGUGAAGAAGGUUUUCGGAUCGUAAAACUCUGUUGUUGGAGAAGAACAAGGACGUUAGUAACUGAACGUCCCCUGACGGUAUCUAACCAGAAAGCCACGGCUAACUACGUG